GAUGAACGCUGGCGGCGUGCCUAAUACAUGCAAGUCGAGCGAACAGACGAGGAGCUUGCUCCUCUGACGUUAGCGGCGGACGGGUGAGUAACACGUGGAUAACCUACCUAUAAGACUGGGAUAACUUCGGGAAACCGGAGCUAAUACCGGAUAAUAUAUUGAACCGCAUGGUUCAAUAGUGAAAGACGGUUUUGCUGUCACUUAUAGAUGGAUCCGCGCCGCAGUAGCUAGUUGGUAAGGUAACGGCUUACCAAGGCAACGAUGCGUAGCCGACCUGAUAGGGUGAUCAGCCACACUGGAACUAAGACACGGUCCAGAAUCCUACGGGAGGCAGCAGUAGGGAAUCUUCCGCAAUGGGCGAAAGCUUGACGGAGCAACGCCGCGUGAGUGAUGAAGGUCUUCGGAUCGUAAAACUCUGUUAUUAGGGAAGAACAAAGGUGUAAGUAACUAUGCACGUCUUGACGGUACCUAAUCAGAAAGCCACGGCUAACUACGUG
Molecule: ribosomal RNA, 497 nt
Filed under: uncultured bacterium
Lineage: Bacteria
Description: partial 16S ribosomal RNA
Rfam family: Bacterial small subunit ribosomal RNA
Source: RNAcentral